GCUGACGAGCGGCGGACGGGUGAGUAAUGCAUAGGAAUCUGCCCGGUAGUGGGGGAUAACCUGGGGAAACCCAGGCUAAUACCGCAUACGUCCUACGGGAGAAAGGGGGCUUCGGCUCCCGCUAUUGGAUGAGCCUAUGUCGGAUUAGCUAGUUGGUGAGGUAAAGGCUCACCAAGGCAACGAUCCGUAGCUGGUCUGAGAGGAUGAUCAGCCACAUCGGGACUGAGACACGGCCCGAACUCCUACGGGAGGCAGCAGUGGGGAAUAUUGGACAAUGGGGGGAACCCUGAUCCAGCCAUGCCGCGUGUGUGAAGAAGGCCCUCGGGUUGUAAAGCACUUUCAGCGAGGAAGAACGCCUAGUGGUUAAUACCCAUUAGGAAAGACAUCACUCGCAGAAGAAGCACCGGCUAACUCCGUGCCAGCAGCCGCGGUAAUACGGAGGGUGCAAGCGUUAAUCGGAAUUACUGGGCGUAAAGCGCGCGUAGGUGGCUUGAUAAGCCGGUUGUGAAAGCCCCGGGCUCAACCUGGGAACGGCAUCCGGAACUGUCAGGCUAGAGUGCAGGAGAGGAAGGUAGAAUUCCCGGUGUAGCGGUGAAAUGCGUAGAGAUCGGGAGGAAUACCAGUGGCGAAGGCGGCCUUCUGGACUGACACUGACACUGAGGUGCGAAAGCGUGGGUAGCAAACAGGAUUAGAUACCCUGGUAGUCCACGCCGUAAACGAUGUCGACCAGCCGUUGGGUGCCUAGAGCACUUUGUGGCGAAGUUAACGCGAUAAGUCGACCGCCUGGGGAGUACGGCCGCAAGGUUAAAACUCAAAUGAAUUGACGGGGGCCCGCACAAGCG
This 842-nucleotide ribosomal RNA is filed under the name Vreelandella boliviensis. RNAcentral's name for it is "Halomonas boliviensis partial 16S ribosomal RNA". It matches the Rfam family "Bacterial small subunit ribosomal RNA", at positions 87 to 931 of the family's 1533-position model. Lineage: Bacteria; Pseudomonadati; Pseudomonadota; Gammaproteobacteria; Oceanospirillales; Halomonadaceae. The record is from RNAcentral.